GCAUAUAAGGCGGAAUUCUUCGGGAGGAAGCCGUAUAUGACUUUUAUGGCGGACGGGUGAGUAACGCGUGAGUAACCUGCCUUACACAGGGGGACAACAGCUGGAAACGGCUGCUAAUACCGCAUAAGCGCACAGGACCGCAUGGUACGGUGUGAAAAGAUUUAUCGGUGUAAGAUGGACUCGCGUCUGAUUAGUUAGUUGGCGGGGUAACGGCCCACCAAGACAACGAUCAGUAGCCGACUUGAGAGAGUGAUCGGCCACAUUGGGACUGAGACACGGCCCAAACUCCUACGGGAGGCAGCAGUGGGGAAUAUUGCACAAUGGGGGAAACCCUGAUGCAGCGACGCCGCGUGAGCGAAGAAGUAUUUCGGUAUUUAAAGCUCUAUCAGCAAGGAAGAUAAUGACGGUACUUGACUAAGAAGCUCCGGCUAAAUACGUGCCAGCAGCCGCGGUAAUACGUAUGGAGCAAGCGUUAUCCGGAUUUACUGGGUGUAAAGGGAGCGUAGACGGCAUGGCAAGUCUGAUGUGAAAGCCCGGGGCUCAACCCCGGAACUGCAUUGGAAACUGUCGUGCUAGAGUGCAGGAGAGGUAAGCGGAAUUCCUAGUGUAGCGGUGAAAUGCGUAGAUAUUAGGAGGAACACCAGUGGCGAAGGCGGCUUACUGGACUGUAACUGACGUUGAGGCUCGAAAGCGUGGGGAGCAAACAGGAUUAGAUACCCUGGUAGUCCACGCCG
RNAcentral lists this ribosomal RNA (734 nucleotides) under uncultured bacterium. RNAcentral's name for it is "bacterial SSU rRNA". It matches the Rfam family "Bacterial small subunit ribosomal RNA", at positions 53 to 802 of the family's 1533-position model. The record is from RNAcentral.